UAAUCAAUGAACUUGUAAAAGUAUAUGACUUGAAAUCAUAAAAAAGAGGUUCAACCCUCUAUUGAUU
This 67-nucleotide transfer RNA is filed under the name Anthicidae sp. 1 ACP-2013. RNAcentral's name for it is "tRNA-Ser". It matches the Rfam family "tRNA". Rfam says of the family: Transfer RNA (tRNA) molecules are approximately 80 nucleotides in length. Lineage: Eukaryota; Metazoa; Arthropoda; Insecta; Coleoptera; Anthicidae. The record is from RNAcentral.